AUGCAACAAAGGAAAAACUGGAAAGUUCAAAAGAAGCAGUUCCAAUGUGGAAGAAGAUGGUGUUUCUUCUGCUAUUCUCCUUCUUGCUUGCAUAGCUUGUGCACCUUCCUAUGGAUAAUAAUGCAUCAAUUCUUUGCUCUUCUUCAUCCUUUGCUUUCUUCCCACCUAUUAUCAAGCACUUAUCUGUUGAAUUCGCAUCUUGUCUAUAGCUUAGUUAUUUCUUUCAGCGUUAUAGUAUAG
Molecule: non-coding RNA, 240 nt
Organism: Vicia faba (fava bean)
Lineage: Eukaryota; Viridiplantae; Streptophyta; Magnoliopsida; Fabales; Fabaceae
Source: the annotation of a GenBank genome assembly